Molecule: ribosomal RNA, 497 nt
Filed under: uncultured bacterium
Lineage: Bacteria
Description: partial 16S ribosomal RNA
Rfam family: Bacterial small subunit ribosomal RNA
Source: RNAcentral
GAUGAACGCUGGCGGCGUGCCUAAUACAUGCAAGUCGAGCGAACGGACGAGAAGCUUGCUUCUCUGAUGUUAGCGGCGGACGGGUGAGUAACACGUGGAUAACCUACCUAUAAGACUGGGAUAACUUCGGGAAACCGUAGCUAAUACCGGAUAAUAUUUUGAACCGCAUGGUUCAAAAGUGAAAGACGGUCUUGCUGUCACUUAUAGAUGGAUCCGCGCUGCAUUAGCUAGUUGGUAAGGUAACGGCUUACCAAGGCAACGAUGCAUAGCCGACCUGAGAGGGUGAUCGGCCACACUGGAACUGAGACACGGUCCAGACUGCUACGGGAGGCAGCAGUAGGGAAUCUUCCGCAAUGGGCGAAAGCCUGACGGAGCAACGCCGCGUGAGUGAUGAAGGUCUUCGGAUCGUAAAACUCUGUUAUUAGGGAAGAACAUAUGUGUAAGUAACUGUGCACAUCUUGACGGUACCUAAUCAGAAAGCCACGGCUAACUACGUG